CAUGCAUGCUUUAUGUUAUGUAUGUGUAUGAUUACACCGUGCCUAAUUGGCCGGGCAGACACCACUGCGCUGGGCGUACUGGGCGGCUAUGAUGAUAAUUACACCGUGCCUAGUUUGCCGGGCAGACACCACUGGUGGGCGGCAUGAGAUGGUUGCCCCGGACGCGGGCUAAUGAUGAUCACACCAUACCUAUAUGGUCGGGCAGUUUAUGUAUGUACAUAUGAUAUGAUGUUGUUUAAUAUAAAAGUUAGCAUGCAUGACUCCGCCUUAAGAGGCAAGCAGUUCAGGUUAUCUCUUCGUCUUAUGUUCUUUUAUUUCUUGAUUAUGUUGUUAUACAUGCCUUACAUACUCAGUACAUUGUUCGUACUGAUGUCUUUUCUUUUAUGGUGCGUUCAUGCCCGCAGGUAGACAGGGAGACGACAUAGACACUUAGGAGCUUUAUCAGCAGAUGUACAGGAGCACUCCACUACUCUGGAAUUGCCGAUUAUUGGUAUAUUCUUUUGUGCACAUAUUUGGAGCAUGGCGGGAUCCUGUCCCGUCCUUAUGAUUUCAGUACUCCAGUUAGAGGCUCGUAGAUACAUGUGUGAGUAGCAGAUGUUAUGUGAUCUCUUAAUGUAUAUGCUCUGUUUAUCAUUUUGUAUCAUUGUAGGCUUAUGUACAUGUAUGUUUUGAGGGGCAUUCGAAGAUCAAUUCAUGAUAAGUUUGUGUUGAGAAUGGGGUAUAUUCAGGUUGAAUUUGAUGAUAAGUCUGAAAGGUGGUGCUCGGUGAGCUAGCGUUAGGUACCCGUCAUGAUCCUCUAGUUGGGUCGUGACAAGGUGUAUAGAAUAAGAUAAUGAAAAGAAUUUUUUUUUUUAAAAAAAGGAGAAAGAAUUGAAUGAAUAUUACCAGAAAUUAAAAAAGAAACAAAAAAAUGAAUGAAAUUAGAUUACAGAGAAAAGAAAUAAGAGAAAAAAGUGAAUGAAAUUAGAUUAUGGAGAAAAAAAAGAAUUAAAUAAAAUAAAAAAAGGAACAAGAAAUGAAGAAUAAAAAAACAGAAAAUAGGAAACAAAAAGAAAAGAGCUAAAAUUAAAUAUGGUGAAAAAAAAUAAAGAAUAACAUAAUCUGAAAAAAAUAGUCAACAAAAGUGGAGAAAAAAGAAAAAAAAUUAAGAAAAAAAAAGAAAAAAUAAAAGGAGAAAAGAAAGAAAAGAAGACAAAAAGAUAAUAAGUAGAGAAUUUUUUUUUAAAAAAAGAAGAGAUAAUUACCUACAAAAUCUAUAAUGGGUAGAAAGGGUAAAUAGUUUUGGGAUAUAAAAGGAAGGGAGACAUGGAAGACUAAUUAUUUUGUGUGUAGUGGACAUUGAUGUUCUUUUCCCCAAAAAAAAAGAAAAAUCUAUCUUAAGACAGACUUUUGCCUUAAGACAAAUUUUGCAUAAAGGCAAACUUCUGCCUUAUAAGGCAGACUUUUGCCCAAGUAGGCCUACUUUGCUACGAAACUCUCCGUUGUGAAAUUGUCUUUUUUUAUUUUACUGAGCAAGUGUUCGAAUCCAAAAUCUCGAAAUAUUUUCGGUCAUUUUUUUAGGUGAAGGUAAAAAAUUAAAUAACAGCACCUUUGAAGGUCCAUUCGUGCAAAAAAAAAAAAAAACUAUCGAAACCUUAAACACCCUUUACUUAGUAGUAAUCCCAAAUUAAAGUAAGCUAGCAUUUUUUUCCUCCUAUAUAUAAUAAUUUAGGGUUGGGCAUAAAUAACGAAAAUAAAAAAAUCGGAUCAAACUUUAAAAAAUCGAAACCGAAAGAAUUGAACCGAACUAAUUUAGUUCGGUGUUCGGUGUCCACUUUCAAAAAAAUCAAAACCGAAAUAGCUGAAUCGAAGUUUGAUAAAAUCGAACCGAAGAACUGAACGCACACCGUAUAUAAUACGGUGGUGUCAACUAAUUGGUUUACAUUUGUGACAACCUAAGAAUCACCAAAUGCAUAGGUUGGAGAAAAAGAAGGAAAACAUCGGAAAAGGGAGAAAGCAAAUGUUCAUUGGAGUUGGUCUUGUUAUGGUUAUGGGAUUAGUUGUUUACUUAAGGCUUUGGACUAUUGACUAUCGUUUCUCUUCCACUGAAACUGAAUUACUCAGGAGAAGAUCAACAUCAAAACCCUGAAGCUAAUCCAUGGAGGGUGAUGGUUCUUACUUCUCUUCAAAGUUGUGAUAAACUUGGUCUUGAAAGGAGUUGGGAAAGGUGAAGUUCUUCUAUAAUAAGAUUUUGCGAACUUUGGAGGAGAACGUUAAGUAGUUAAGAAGACGUAAAGGUAUGUAAGGCUAACCCUUCUUUCUAAAGGCAUGAUUUCCUUAUUGUAAAUCCAUCGAAGAUAUCUGUAAUGUCCUAUUUUUAGAAAUGCUAGAAGUCAUGACUUUCAAGAUUCUUAAGAUAUGAUUGGUAAAAUCUCUUCAUAGUGAUGAUGAUAAUGAUGAUGAUGAUGAUGGUGAUUCCAUAAUGGUACCCGAUAAAGUUGUAAUGUUUCCUUUGGAUACUCAUGUAUGUCAUAUAUGUAUAUAGCUAUGUUGUGACACCGAACUUAUAUGGCCGGGUAUGAUAUCUAUAGCACGCACACCACUGUAGUUGGGUAUGAAAAACACCAAGCCUUGUUAUAGCCGGGUAUGAAUGACACCGAACCUAUAUGGUCGGGUAUGGUAUCAUUAUAUGUAUAUGUAGGAAAUGUUUUCUUCAGAGAAAGGUUAAGUAAGCAUAAUGAACGUCUUAAGAGGUAUUAUGAGGUAUAAAUGAUUCACUUUUCUUAUGUUAUUCCUCAUGCUUUUAUCAUGUUAGUAUUCAUGCCUUACAUACUCAGUACAUUGUUUGUACUGACGUCCUUUUGUUUAUGGACAUUGCGUUCAUGCCCGCAGGUAGACAGAGAGACAGACCAGACAUUUAGGCUGUAAUAGUUGGUAUUAUUAUUUUUGUAUACAUAUAUGGGCAUGGCGGGGUCCUAUCCCGUCUUUAUGAUAUUACAUACUCUCCGUAGAGGCUCGUAGACAGAUGUGUAUAGCUAAAUAUCCCUCAGCCUUGUCGGUUCGUAUUUUGUAUAUCCUUUUGAUAGCCUUGUCGGCUUGUGUAUAUAUAGGUAUAGUUAAUGAUGUUUACAUAAUGGUGCCUUCGUCCGAUGUAAUUUGUGUCAUUAGUGCAUGGUAAUUAUGAGUUAGCCAUGUGGCUCACCUAGAUAUGAUUAUGAGAGUAUGAUGAGAGGUGCUCGGUAAGUUAACUCCGGGUGCCCGUCAUUGCCCUCCGGUUGAGUCGUGCAACUGCCUUUUUGCACGUGUUUAAUUCUGUAGAGGCUAGAGAUGCUCUCUUUCCAGAGAUGUGGGUUCGAAACCCCAUCAGUGCCUAUGUUUUUUCGUUUUUUAGUUAUAAUAAGUAAUAUUGUCUUUUAAUUCACUUUUUAAAAUUAGAAGAACGUAUAAAUUGAACUCGUGCAAUUCUUUUCCUUUGGGGGUAACUUUUUCCCUUUUGCUAUCAUACAUAAUUUCUUUUAACACUUUAUAUUUUAAAAACAAUAUAUAGAAUUGACAAAUCAAUAAGCAAAAAGCAAACUGAAUUCCCCCGAUACUUGCUGCUACCAUUCUUUUUCAUGAUUUUCUUUCACAAAGUCAAACCCAAAAUUAGAUUUUCAAAAUAUAAUAAAUACUUAUACUUGUUCGUUAGUUUGAUGGUUGUUAUCAGGGUGGCUCAAGGGUGAAGCUAGUAA
Molecule: long non-coding RNA, 3710 nt
Organism: Lycium barbarum (goji berry)
Lineage: Eukaryota; Viridiplantae; Streptophyta; Magnoliopsida; Solanales; Solanaceae
Exons: 3
Source: RefSeq, a predicted model, not a curated record